Gorilla gorilla gorilla (western lowland gorilla) is the source of this 2399-nucleotide long non-coding RNA. RefSeq lists it as uncharacterized. The transcript is spliced from 5 exons. The record is from RefSeq and is a predicted model, not a curated record. Lineage: Eukaryota; Metazoa; Chordata; Mammalia; Primates; Hominidae.
AGCGCCCCGCCCGCCCGCCCCUCCCCGCCCCUCGGGGACAUCCGGGCUCUGAGCCCGACUCUGUGCCGGGCGAGGGCCGGGAAGGGGUGGGAGAAGUCGCCGCCCGCGUCUGUCCAAACUUAGUCCCAAACUCAGGAGGUUCCUGUCCCAAGAAGCAAUGUAAAGUUUGAAACGAGCCGAGCGCGGUGGCUCACGCCUGUAAUCCCAGCACUUUGGGAGGCCGAGGCUGGCGAAUCAUUUGAGUAGAGACGGGGUUUCACCGUGUUAGCCGGGAUGGUCUCCAUCUCCUGAUCUCGUGAUCCGCCCUCUUCGGCCUCCCAAAGUGCUGAGAUUACAGACGUGAGCCACCGCGCCUUGCCUAUAUUAGGUUUUUAAAUAGCAAGAGGCAAAGCUUUUCGGUGUGAUCCUGACUUCACCUGGGGAAAAAGGGCAGACACAGGGUCUCACUGUGUUGGCCAGGCUGGAGUGCGGCAGUCUGGAACUCCUGGGCCCAAGUGAUCCUCCAAUCAGCCUCCCAAAGCACUGGAAUUACAGACGGAGUUUUGCUCUUGUUGCCCAGGCUGGAGUACAAUGGCGCAAUCUCGGCUCACUGCAACCUCCGCCUCCGGGGUUCAAGUGAUUCUCCUGCCUCACCCUCCUGAGUAGCUAGGAUUACAGGAGCCUACUACCACGGCCAGCUAAUUUUUUUGUAUUUUUAGUAGAGACGGGGUUUUACCAUGUUGGCCAGGCUGGUUUCAAACUCCUGACCUCAGGUGAUCCACCCGCCUCAGCCUCCCAAAGUGCUGAGAUUAUAGGCAUGAGCCACCGCGCCCGGCCCAUAGAUUACUUUUAUAAUCAGAAGUUUUUCUUUACUUUUUAAAGAGUAAAUUCUCUCACCUCAGGUAGCUCAGAGAGCUGCGCUGGAGGAGAAAAGCCAGUCCUGGCAGGAGCUCUGGUACCUGGGAAGCUGGAUGGAGAGCCUGGGCCAGAAUCCCAGACCCCUCACCUCUGCGGCCUGCUUUGUGACCUUGGCAAAUCCAUUCUAUGCGCCUCCAUUUCCUGUACAGUGGGGAUCCUUAUUUCUCUGGCACAGAUUGGUAUUUGUUCUGUAAAGUCCAGUACCACUUUAUUUUAUUUUAGUUAUUGAUUUUUUUGAGACAGGGCCUCACUCUGUUGCCAAGGCUGGAAUGCAGUGGCGAGAUCAUAGCUCACUGCAGCCUCAAACUCCUGGGCUCAGGCCAUCCUCCUGCCUCGGCCUCCUGAGUAGCUGGGACGACAGGCAUGCACCACUGCGCCUAGCUCCAGUACCAUGUUUAAACGGUGCUCAGAAAACUUGCUAAACUUGGUGGAUGGGAAUUGAAAAGAGAUUUAAUGUUUUAAAAAUCAAAGUCACUCAGCUGCAGUGCCACAUGGGAAGGAGGCCUGGAUGUGAAUGUUCCUGGGAGCUGAGAGCUCCUGUGACUGUCGCCAGUUUCCUGUGGUCUCCCACAGACUCAGGACAUCUCCGUCUGCUCCAGGACACCUCAGGACCACCAGAGGGCACUCAUCGCACCUUCACCCCUGGAAGAGAGCUGGUCCUGGGGCCAAAACCCACUGUGCCUGGGAAGCCCUUCCUGGCUUCUGCUCUCCUCAAUGUAUGACAGCCCUGAUUUACCCCCAGGGACUGUUGCUACUCGGGGUUGUAGAGUAAUAUGUAACCAGACUGGAGAACCACAGCAAUGCUCUCUCCUCUGCCCAUCACCUCCCCUUGGCCCCUCCCUCUUCAUCAGCCCCAUUUUGGAGAAGGGAGAAAGAAGGGAGAGGCAGCAGUCUCCUCCCAGGUGGGGCCGGAUUCCAGGGAAGGAGAAUUUUCAGAAGUUGCUGGAGUUGCCGAAUCUGUCAGGGCCCAGGGUUCACAGAGCAGUGAUGGAGGAGAAAGGAGAGGAAGCAGAUCUAAGCACACAUGGGCAUCAAACCAUAGGAACAAAGUCACAUGCAGAGGGCUGCACAUAGACACAGGGAAACACACACACGGAGAUGCACAGAAACACGCAGACCCCACACAGGAACCUGCUUUCCCACCACAGAGGAAAGCAAUCUGAUCAAACAGACCCACUGUGCACCCAGCCCUCCAUGCUUGGGGACAACACACCUACAAAAAUACAAGAAAAAAAAGGAAAACUGCUCUGCCUGGGAUGCCUUGCUUGACUUUUCUUGUAAAUAAGCAUUUGAAUGUGUUUUGUUCUAGGAGCUUUCGAGGCAGGCACAAAGGGAGCCCUUUCUCAUGCAGGAAGGUCCCUCUGCAGCCUCCCCCUUCCCUCCCCCUCCUGCCAUCCGCCCACAGGCUGAGGUGGCUUUAUUUCCGGGACCGAGUGUGGAUACCUCCUGUUUUAGAGAACCCUGAGAACCACUGUGCUAUUUCCAAGUUAAACUCUAGGCCG